Molecule: ribosomal RNA, 437 nt
Filed under: uncultured bacterium
Lineage: Bacteria
Description: bacterial SSU rRNA
Rfam family: Bacterial small subunit ribosomal RNA
Source: RNAcentral
UGAGGAAUAUUGGUCAAUGGACGCAAGUCUGAACCAGCCAUGCCGCGUGCAGGAAGACGGCUCUAUGAGUUGUAAACUGCUUUUGUACGAGGGUAAACUUAGAUACGCGUAUCUAACUGAAAGUAUCGUACGAAUAAGGAUCGGCUAACUCCGUGCCAGCAGCCGCGGUAAUACGGAGGAUCCAAGCGUUAUCCGGAUUUAUUGGGUUUAAAGGGUGCGUAGGCGGUUUUAUAAGCUAGAGGUGAAAUCUCGGGGCUCAACUCCGAAAUUGCCUCUAAUACUGUAGGACUAGAGAGUAGUUGCGGUAGGCGGAAUGUAUGGUGUAGCGGUGAAAUGCAUAGAUAUCACGCAGAACUCCGAUUGCGAAGGCAGCAUACCGGCGCCCGCACUGACGCUCAUGCACGAAAGCGUGGGGGAGCAAACAGGAUUAGAUACCC